ACAAUCCCACUGGCCUGAGCCAGCAGGUGGCACAGCUCAGGCUGGACCCAGCCAGCCUCAAGGAGGGAAGAGAGGGACAUCAUGGUGGCGCUGGACUCCCUGCAGGGGCUCUGCAGAGGCAGAAGAUGAACAGUAAGAUGCAAAGAUCUGGCAACCUUCAGAGCUGGCAUCUCACAGAGAAGAUACUUGGAUGGGCCACAGGCCAAAACUGGGCCAAAACCCUGGAGAGGGGGACCUGGCUCAAGGCCACACCACAUUUCCAUGUCAUUUUCCAGUGGCACCAACUGAGCUGGACAGAUGUUCUCACAGAGCUACACAUGCCACAGUCAUCACUAGUUGCGAGAGUCUCCAGUGUUCAUUAAGCCUAUUUUGCUGGAAGUUUAGUCCCUGGAGGAUUAGUCCCUGCCCUUAAGGAGUGCCAAAGAAGACUUUGGAAUCUAAGUCACAUCUCCCCUGCUGCAAUUUUUUCCUCUUGAUAAUCAAGGAAUCUCACUGAUAAAACUCUCAAUGAGGAGCAGCUCUCCCCAUGAGCAAGUUCUUGCCUUCAUUGCCAGGGAGGCCCCAGCUAAGGUUAUACUGGGAAAGGAAUCUCUGGGGAGUACCUGGAAGAGGUCAGCUUCUCCUCAAAGGAAGCCUCUCCAGCUGGUGUACUGCAAAGCCUUCCAAGACCAAGUUCCCUCUUCCUGGCCUCUGGAACCAGCCUGUGUGCCAGCGCUGUGUCCCCAGUAACACACAUGAGUCUCUCCCUCAGAAGCCACAGAAGGAUGCAGAGAGAGACCAACCCAGGAUUGAUUCUCAGCACUUACUAAUUGUGUGGACAUAACUGCUCUGGACCUCAGCUUUGCUAUCUAUAAAAUGAGCACCCUUUUUAUAGAUAUGAACACUUUAAGAGAGUCAUAAAGAUUGAAGUUGAUUUGUGCUGCGCCUGGCACAGAGGUCUCCCUCAGUAAAUGGCAGCCACUGCUAUUGGGGUGCCCCAACACCCCUUGCCCCUGCCCACCAUUAGCUUUCACUUAGGCCCACACUGAGGGUGUGGCUGUUGUGUUGGGGGAAGGAAAAAAACCAUGCCUGGGUUGCAGGGCCCCCACCACCAACUGGUCUGCUUUUGUGGGAAGCAUUUUCUGAUGCCCUCGCCCUACCCGUGGGCUGGUUGACUAAGUGUCCAGCAUCAUGAGGAAAAGAGCAGGGUUCAGGGACAGCUUGGCUCAGCCCUGAAACUCAUCUGGGCCUAGGUCCAGAUGAGAGGCAAGCCUGGGAGGCCUUCCGUUGUACCCUUGCCUAUCCUGCAGCACCCUCUAGCCUGCAGGCCGCUCCUGGGUGGCAUAGCACCUUGGAUGUCAGGUGUGGGCCUUCCCAGGCACAUGGCAUGAGGGGGCACUUCUGUGGGUUGUUGGGGGCAGGAAGGGAUGUGUCUCCAGCUGGACUUGGGCUCUCGCAUUUUGGGGCCCAGCCAUGCCAGGACAGCACACAUGGGCGCUUAGUGCGAAUCUCAUGAUGGAGCAGAGGAGGAGCAAAGCAAAACCAGGGAGUCCCCAGGCCCCUGCUUCUGCCCCGCCCAGAGACAGUGGAGCAGGUGUCUCCAGCUUCUUAACCUCAACGCACAGUAAGAAAUACAUUUUACAGCAACCAAUAGACACAUACAUUUACAAAACGAUACUCUGUAAUGCACUGGGCUGGUUUUCUCUCCUCACGCCCCUCUAGUGAGUCACAGAUGAGUCCCGCUAUAAGUAAUGUAAGCAAGCCACAGUCCCUGGCUGGCAAGUGAGGGAGUGCCCCACCAGGACAGGGACACUGAGGCAGCAAUGAAAACAGCCAAUGCAACCACUCCUUCCUUUUUCCCCCGCUCAGACCCUCAUGGGUGAGGAGAGAAGCUGCCAAGCCGAGGACUCCAUGAGAAAGAUGCCGGAGCUGCCCCACUCCGCAGCAGGCGCUUCCCCUGGAUUCUCACUAUCCUCACGACAGCCAUGAGCACCAGCAAUUAUCUGUUCCAUUUUGGAGAGGAGGCAAUGCAGGUUCAGAGGCUUUAAAAAGAUUUACUAUGUGCUUGCUGUGUGCCGGCAACGUUUAUAUGGUUUAUAUAAUGCUGAAUGGUUUAUAUAAUGCUCAGCGCUUACCUAUUCCCCAGAGCAGCCCUAGGGAGCAGGUACCGCUGCAUCUGCAUUGGCAGAGGAGACCGCGGCUCCCCCAACCCCCGGCUCAAGGUCUCACAGCUAGUUGCAGGCCUGCAUCUCUCAACCCAGAACACCUUUAAGGAGUCCCUCCUGCCCCAGGCAGAGUCCUAGGCUUCCCUGCAGAUCCAGGUAAACUUCAGGUAGGAGGAGGCCUGCCUGUAAGUGGGGAACAUCAAUGGGAAGGAGCAGAUUGAAAGCCAGAAGAGAAUAUGAAGAAAUGGCUGUGGCUGUGGGCUCACAGAAAGGGGGCAGCCCCCUUGCCCAGCUCUCCUCCAUAAUCCAGAGGCUAUUUUAAUUUAAUGAUGAUCAUAAAAGAAAUAUUGACGGUGUGGCUGAAUCAGGCUCUGCUGUGGCCUCCACGCAGGCAGCCUGCUCUGGACCCUGUGGUUCCCUGGCUGCUCCAGACCCCCUCGCUCCCCAAGGUCAGCUGCAGAUCAGAGCUUCCUGGGCACAGAGAGCCCUGCUCAGAAGGGACAUCUCCAUUCGCAGAGGUGAGACGGCCUGAGGGUUUCACGGUGGAAAGGAAAGCCCUGUCUUUGGAACCUGAUAUGGAUCUGGCUGCCAGGGUCCAGGGUCACCUGUGGGGAGGGGCAGCAGCCGCCCAGCUCUGCCAGAGACAGAGGGCAGGGCCAGACCUGGGGCUUCCCGCCCAGGAUGCCAUCAGCCAGUUGAAAUUCCAGCCCACGCCGGCACCCUGAGGGCUGUCGGGGAGGGGUGGGAUUUAUGACUUCCCCACCCCCCCGCAACACCCCAAAGGGAAAUGUGUUGAGCUGGUCAACAUCUCUCUGGUCACAGGGCCAGUGCUCCUGAGGCUCCUAAAUAAUGGGGCAGGAGCCAGGUCAUUAGGCAGGGGAGACUGUCAUUAGUGCGGGUGAUGCCACCACCGCUCAGACAAUGGCAAACAGUCAUUAGCGGCUGUGUCACAGGGAUGAGGCAAUGCUGGAUGGCUGGGGCGUGGCGCUUCCCCAGCCACACACUCACACACACACGCACAUGUUCACACACAGAGGAGGAAGUAGUCAUGCUCAAACACUCACUCCCACAAGGACAUCUAGAGACACACACAUCCACACGUGGGGGCAUGAGUGGGUGUGUCUGCACACUCACAUGCUCACAUGUCCACACACAUUCACAUGCAGGGUGUGAGGAGGCAUGUGCUCCCACGUGUUCACACAGUCACAUACAGGAGAACAAGCAGACAGCCGCAUUUGCACACUCACAUGUUCACACAGAGGAAUGAGUGAGCACAGGGUGCAGGGACACAUGUUCACACACAGUCACAACAAAUUCACACACACACACAGGCAUACUCGCAUGCUCACGUUUCCAGAUUCACACGCAGGGGCUGAGAGACACAUUGCCCAGAAAGGGCCACAGUGUCUGGGACACCCCCCACCCACACACACCACAGGGGCAGGGCCCUCGGAUCCUCCCCACACCAGGCACCCAGACACCCCCUACCCUGAGAUAGCCACACAGAACCUCAGGGGCCCCCCGAGGAGAGACCCAAAGACACCCCCUCAUCCCACCCCUCCCCCUGCAUCAAAUGAUGCAGCAGCCAGGAAGGAAAAACCCAGUGAAGCGUGGAGGCAGCCAGGCUGCGUGGACCUUGGCAGAGGCGGUGUCAGCUGUGCCGCCGCAGUGCUCUCCACACUCCCAGCUCUGACAGCCAGCACAGACCUGCCCCCAACAUGAACCCCCAAAAAAUGGGCUGCUGUAGGCGUGUUUCUCUGCUCGCCUCCCUGUGGGAGAGGGACAGGAAGCGGGAGGCUGGAGUUGGAGGAGCGGGGGAGUAGAGCAACUGAAACCCAGCCCCUGGCCCUGGCUUGAAUCUUCUCUCCCGUCCUCACCAGGCUUUCCCCCCGCCAAGCUAUGGAGCCGCCCUUCAGAAAACACAGGCAGGGAGUGGGACAAGAGGCAGAGAAAGUGGCAGGCACAGCCACGCCAGGCCAAGAGAGCAGGCUGGAAACCAGCCCUCCACUCUGGGUUCAACAUCUAGCUCCACCACUUAUCAGCUGGUAGUAUUAGCUUCCUGCGGCU
RNAcentral lists this long non-coding RNA (4211 nucleotides) under Homo sapiens (human). RNAcentral describes it as "non-protein coding lnc-KRT80-1:6". Lineage: Eukaryota; Metazoa; Chordata; Mammalia; Primates; Hominidae. The record is from RNAcentral.